Molecule: long non-coding RNA, 372 nt
Filed under: Numida meleagris (helmeted guineafowl)
Lineage: Eukaryota; Metazoa; Chordata; Aves; Galliformes; Numididae
Description: lncRNA (ENSNMEG00000018382.1)
Source: RNAcentral
UACAUCAGACCAGACCAGACCAAACCACAGUGAGGACAACAUAGAAUUUUCUCCAGUGCCAGCCAUGACUUUCACCUACAGCCAGAUGCAAAACUCCUGAGUAUUACGUCUUUCAGAGAUGGCCUAAGAUUUCCAACAUAGCUGAACAACUACAAGGAUUUGUUCCGUACCAUGUGAAACUUCUCUUUUUUGACUGUGUGCCCUGCAUGCCUGCUUGAUAUCCAGAGUAAGAAGCCUCAGGAUACAUAACAAGUUUCUUGGCUCUGUAGCUACUCACUACAAAGAAAGCAAAACAAAAAAAGAAAACACUGUAUUAUCUUGUCCUACAUGACUUCCUAACCAUACGUAAAGAAUAAUUAAAUAACAAUUGUG